Helianthus annuus (common sunflower) is the source of this 1071-nucleotide long non-coding RNA. RefSeq lists it as uncharacterized. NCBI's taxonomy places the organism in Eukaryota, Viridiplantae, Streptophyta, Magnoliopsida, Asterales, Asteraceae. The transcript is spliced from 5 exons. The record is from RefSeq and is a predicted model, not a curated record.
AGCCCGCUCCCCUCCCCUCCCCUUUGCACACACAAGCCAGUACAAACACACACGUUUUUGUGGAAAUCAGAAGCAUGAAGCUUUGGUGUGGUUGCAAUCGAUGGGAAAAAGAUCGAGGUGUAACAGCAACUGGAUGCUUAAGUUUAGGAAAACAAGGGUUUGGUAAGUAGAGAUUCCGGUGAUAUAUUGCAUAAACAAGCUUUCUAUAACAACAAGGUAAGAACCAACACCAGUAAAAUCAUUUAUUUUAUUCGAUUUCAUGUAUAAUAGGGUUUUGGUUGCUGUUUUUCAGAAGUAGAAGGCGGAGGUGGCCCCAACUGGUUAAUAUUUGAUUAGUUUUUUUAUGGGUGUCAAAAGCUUAAUUGCUGACCAUUUAAGUUUAUAUAUAUAUAUAUAUAUUCGGUUUUGAUUUCUAAAGGAAUGUUUGGUUGGGACGGGGUCAUGGGUUUCGAAGUGAUCUAUUUAAGAUGGUUGCAGAUAUGAAGCCUGCAUUUAUCAGAUUUCCAGGUUUAUCUAUACUAUAUAAGAAGAUGAAGAGAAGAGAGAGGUUGAGAUGGUUUCUGUGCUCUGGAACUUCAAAGAAGAAGAAGAUGAAGAUAUGGGGAUGGUUUCCAUGCUCUGCAACCUCAAAGAAGAUGAAGAGCUAUCACCUAUGAGCUUCAGAAGAUAUGGGGGAUGGAAAAAAGAAAAAGUGUUUCAUAGAGAGUUGACUACUUGACUUGGUCAAGUUGAUAUGAUAUGGUCAAUAAAAUUCCAUUCAUGCUGAAAAUUCUUUCUAAAGAAUUAGGACCACAAUUGGUUGAAGAAUGCUAUGAUUUUUUAUACUUGGCGUCAACAACUCACAAUAUUUGGGUUCAAAUCUUUUACAAGUCUGGUGGCAUGACUGUUUUAGGACCUCGGAUUCCAAUCUUAACGGAUGGUAUAUUUCAUAUAAAUUAUAACCGAAGUGUAUUAUUUUAGUUUCAAGGUUUGAGUAUCAUAUCUGGAUAUGGAUUUAAUAUUCCUGAAAUGUAUUUAUGUAUGAAACAUUCCCUCGACACAGUUAUAAAAGAGAACUAUUCAGAAUUGUCA